RNAcentral lists this ribosomal RNA (497 nucleotides) under uncultured bacterium. RNAcentral describes it as "partial 16S ribosomal RNA". It matches the Rfam family "Bacterial small subunit ribosomal RNA", at positions 28 to 507 of the family's 1533-position model. The record is from RNAcentral.
GAUGAACGCUGGCGGCGUGCCUAAUACAUGCAAGUCGAGCGAACGGACGAGAAGCUUGCUUCUCUGAUGUUAGCGGCGGACGGGUGAGUAACACGUGGAUAACCUACCUAUAAGACUGGUAAAACUUCGGGAAUCCGGAGCUAAUACCGGAUAAUAUUUUGCACCGCAUGGUUCAAAAGUGAAAGACGGUCUUGCUGUCACUUAUAGAUGGAUCCCGGCUGCAUUAGCUAGUUGGUAAGGUAACGGCUUUCCAAGGCAACGAUGCAUAGCCGACCUGAGAGAGUGGUCGGCGGCACUGGAGCGGAGACGCGGACCAGGCUACUAAGGGAGGCAGCAGACGGGAAUGGGCCGCAAUGGGCGGAAGCCUGACGGAGCGACGCCGCGUGAGAGAUGAAGGUCUUCGGAUCGUAAAGCUCUGUUAUUAGGGAAAAACAUAUGUGUAAUGAAACGUGCACAUCUUGACGGUACCUAAUCAGAAAGCCACGGCUAACUACGUG